This 282-nucleotide ribosomal RNA is filed under the name uncultured prokaryote. RNAcentral describes it as "partial 16S ribosomal RNA". It matches the Rfam family "Bacterial small subunit ribosomal RNA", at positions 524 to 803 of the family's 1533-position model. The record is from RNAcentral.
UACGUAGGGGGCUAGCGUUGUCCGGAGUUACUGGGCGUAAAGGGCGAGUAGGCGGCUUGUUAAGUCAGGUGUGAAAUUCCAAGGCUCAACCUUGGAACUGCGCUUGAAACUGGCAGGCUUGAGGACAGGAGAGGGAAGUAGAAUCCCCGGUGUAGCGGUGAAAUGCGUAGAUAUCGGGGGGAAUACCAGUGGCGAAGGCGGCUUCCUGGACUGUACCUGACGCUGAGGAGCGAAAGCUAGGGGAGCAAACAGGAUUAGAUACCCCUGUAGUCCCUGAGCGGG